GUAGGUGGCAAGCGUUGUCCGGAAUUAUUGGGCGUAAAGCGCGCGCAGGCGGUCCUUUAAGUCUGAUGUGAAAGCCCACGGCUCAACCGUGGAGGGUCAUUGGAAACUGGGGGACUUGAGUACAGAAGAGGAAAGCGGAAUUCCAAGUGUAGCGGUGAAAUGCGUAGAGAUUUGGAGGAACACCAGUGGCGAAGGCGGCUUUCUGGUCUGUAACUGACGCUGAGGCGCGAAAGCGUGAGGAGCAAACAGGGAUUAGAUACCCUGGUAGUCCACGCCGUAAACGAUGAGUGCUAAGUGUUAGGGGGUUUCCGCCCCCUUAGUGCUGCAGCUAACGCAUUAAGCACUCCGCCUGGGGAUACGGCCGCAAGGCUG
This 372-nucleotide ribosomal RNA is filed under the name uncultured organism. RNAcentral's name for it is "partial 16S ribosomal RNA". It matches the Rfam family "Bacterial small subunit ribosomal RNA", at positions 527 to 896 of the family's 1533-position model. The record is from RNAcentral.